UUACGGCUCAGUAACACGUGGAUAAUCUGCCCUAAGGUCAGGUAUAACUCCGGGAAACUGGUGAUAAUCCCUGAUAUAUCAUAGAAACUGGAAUGUUCUGUGAUUAAAAGCUCCGGCGCCUUAGGAUGAAUCUGCGGUCUAUCAGGUUGUAGUGGGUGUAGAGUACCUACUAGCCUACGACGGAUACGGGUUGUGAGAGCAAGAGCCCGGAGAUGGAUUCUGAGACAUGAAUCCAGGCCCUACGGGGCGCAGCAGGCGCGAAAACUUUACAAUGCGGGAAACCGCGAUAAGGGGAUACUGAGUGCCAGCAUAUUAUGUUGGCUGUCCACCUGUAUAAACAGCAGGUGUUAGCAAGGGCCGGGCAAGACCGGUGCCAGCCGCCGCGGUAACACCGGCGGCCCGAGUGGUGGCCACUAUUAUUGGGUCUAAAGGGUCCGUAGCCGGUUUGAUCAGUCUUCCGGGAAAUCUGACAGCUCAACUGUUAGGCUUCUGGGGGAUACUGUCAGACUUGGGACCGGGAGAGGUAAGAGGUACUACAGGGGUAGGAGUGAAAUCUUGUAAUCCUUGUGGGACCACCAGUGGCGAAGGCGUCUUACCAGAACGGGUCCGACGGUGAGGGACGAAAGCUGGGGGCACGAACCGGAUUAGAUACCCGGGUAGUCCCAGCCGUAAACGAUGCUCGCUAGGUGUCUGGGACGGUGCGACCGUUUCAGGUGCCGCAGGGAAGCCGUGAAGCGAGCCACCUGGGAAGUACGGCCGCAAGGUUGAAACUUAAAGG
Molecule: ribosomal RNA, 778 nt
Filed under: uncultured euryarchaeote
Lineage: Archaea; Methanobacteriati; Methanobacteriota
Description: bacterial SSU rRNA
Rfam family: Archaeal small subunit ribosomal RNA
Source: RNAcentral